AUUGAACGCUGGCGGAAUGCUUUACACAUGCAAGUCGAACGGCAGCACGGACUUCGGUCUGGUGGCGAGUGGCGAACGGGUGAGUAACAUAUCGGAACGUAUCCAAUAAUGGGGGAUAACUAAUCGAAAGGUUGGCUAAUACCGCAUACGCCCUAUGGGGGAAAGCUAGGGACCUUCGGGCCUGGCGUUAAUGGAGCGGCCGAUAUCUGAUUAGCUAGUUGGUGGGGUAAAGGCCCACCAAGGCGACGAUCAGUAGCUGGUCUGAGAGGACGACCAGCCACACUGGAACUGAGACACGGUCCAGACUCCUACGGGAGGCAGCAGUGAGGAAUAUUGCGCAAUGGACGAAAGUCUGACGCAGCCAUGCCGCGUGCAGGAUGACGGCCCUAUGGGUUGUAAACUGUUUUUGUACAGAACGAAAAGGUUUCUACUAAUACUAGGAGCUCAUGACGGUACUGUAAGAAUAAGCACCGGCUAACUACGUGCCAGCAGCCGCGGUAA
RNAcentral lists this ribosomal RNA (501 nucleotides) under uncultured bacterium. RNAcentral's name for it is "partial 16S ribosomal RNA". It matches the Rfam family "Bacterial small subunit ribosomal RNA", at positions 30 to 523 of the family's 1533-position model. The record is from RNAcentral.